CUCUCUUCCAAAUCCCAAAAUUUCCCCCUCUCUCCUAGCAAAAUCCCCAUUCCCUCCUAACUUAGAACAAAAAAAACCCCAAUCACUUUGCGUCACAGCCCCAUUCUCACCCCAAUCACUUCGAGCUCCUCCCAACCCCCUCCAUAGUACGUCAUUUCCCUUCCUCCCAGCCCCUACCAUUGUCGUUCACCUUCCUCCCAGCCCCUACUUCGUCACAGCCCCCAAGAUCGACGAAGGCAGAAACCCUAGCGUCGCCGAGCUCCUCUGUCGCGUCUCACCGCGAGCUUCCUGUCACCGCGAGGAAGAAGAGUAGGCAUCGCGCUCCUCCGCUAUCCAGCCACCGUCGAACUUCGAAGAGAGAGAGAAAGCUCAUGAAGAUGAGAGAGAGAGGGGUCAAAAGCUGAGCUGGUGUCUGUCACCGCCUCCACUGCCUUCACCGCCGCUGUUGAAGCUCUGCUGCUGCCGUCUGAGCUGCCGCCAGGGGAAGCUGCUGCCGCCGUUACCACCACAGCACAAGAGAAUCCACCACAGCAAGGAAAGGAACGUGUUUUGUAUUCCACUGAUGAGCAAAGUUUGAGGGAGGUUUUUGGGAAAUAUGGUGAUGUUGUUGAUGCAAGGAUAAUUGUGUACCGUGAUUUUGGCAGAUCCAGAGGAUUUGGGUUUAUUACUUACAGUUCAGUGAAAGAGGCGUCAAGUGCCCUUCAGGCCUUAGAUGGGCAGGAAGACAUGAUGUGAUGAAGAAAAUAUGUUCCAUACAAAUAUCACAUGGGAUGGGUCUUACAAUGACCUUAGUUAUGUAAAUGUAAUAUUUUGAUAUGUUAUGUACUUUUUGAGGUAUUACAUGUAAUUGGAAAAAUUUCACUCUUUUUAAUUUGUGUUGUUUAGACUAAAAAUUAAACAUAUAUAUCUUAUAAUGAAACUUUUAUGAUUU
Long non-coding RNA from Arachis stenosperma, 931 nucleotides. RefSeq lists it as uncharacterized. The record is from RefSeq and is a predicted model, not a curated record. The transcript is spliced from 4 exons. NCBI's taxonomy places the organism in Eukaryota, Viridiplantae, Streptophyta, Magnoliopsida, Fabales, Fabaceae.